GUGACCGUAGCUCAGCUGGACAGAGCAUCGGGUUGUGACCCCGGGGGUCGAGGGUUCGAGUCCCUCCGGCCACCCCA
This 77-nucleotide transfer RNA is filed under the name Burkholderiaceae bacterium. RNAcentral describes it as "tRNA-His". It matches the Rfam family "tRNA". Rfam says of the family: Transfer RNA (tRNA) molecules are approximately 80 nucleotides in length. The record is from RNAcentral. Lineage: Bacteria; Pseudomonadati; Pseudomonadota; Betaproteobacteria; Burkholderiales; Burkholderiaceae.